RNAcentral lists this ribosomal RNA (254 nucleotides) under uncultured bacterium. Its description in RNAcentral is "partial 16S ribosomal RNA". It matches the Rfam family "Bacterial small subunit ribosomal RNA", at positions 524 to 776 of the family's 1533-position model. The record is from RNAcentral.
UACGUAGGGUGCAAGCGUUGUCCGGAAUUAUUGGGCGUAAAGAGCUCGUAGGCGGCUUGUCGCGUCGGCUGUGAAAACCCGCGGCUCAACCGUGUGGUCUGCAGUCGAUACGGGCAGGCUAGAGUUCGGUAGGGGAGACUGGAAUUCCUGGUGUAGCGGUGAAAUGCGCAGAUAUCAGGAGGAACACCGGUGGCGAAGGCGGGUCUCUGGGCCGAUACUGACGCUGAGGAGCGAAAGCGUGGGGAGCGAACAGG